RNAcentral lists this long non-coding RNA (815 nucleotides) under Vitis vinifera (wine grape). RNAcentral's name for it is "long non-coding RNA (VVIN_LNC000359)". Lineage: Eukaryota; Viridiplantae; Streptophyta; Magnoliopsida; Vitales; Vitaceae. The record is from RNAcentral.
UUGACAGCAAUAAUGAUACCUUAAUUUGAGAUGAAUAUUGAUUGGGAAUUGAUGUGAUGCACAUCAAACUCAAAUUAAACCCACAGCUACAAUGAAGUUGCACAGUGACCUAGAAAAGCCAAGAGCUGGAGCUGCUGUUGGAGAAUGGAGAUGGCUAUGGAUGAAUGACUACAUACAUACACAUUGAACCAUCCAUAGGGCAUAACCAACCCACCCUCGUGAAUUGAAUCAUUCCUGAUUCCUAUAAGCCUGUUAUGGUGAAUGCUGAAUGAAGAAACAGAGGUCACCCAUUAUUAAUUAAUGAAAUAUGAUCAGGGUUUUCAACAGGUAUCAUCAGCUUCUACUUUUUCUCCACUAACAUUGAACUGGGCUCUCUGGAGCUAACCCCUCUGGUCUGUCAUUCUUUGUUAAAAGGGGUGGAAGGAUAUGCCCACUGAUAGAUAAUCAUCCCUUUAAACAAGGGUUUAAUCAGUUAAAAAAAAAUUGCAGAUUAAACAGAUAGAGAGGUUGAUAUUACAAACAUGUUUCAGUUCUCAAAGGGAGAGCUGAAAGGGAGAGAGAGAGGUUUAAUCAGUUAAAGAAAAAAACUGCAGAUUAAACAGAUAGAGAGGUUGAUAUUACAAACAUGUUUCAGUUCUCAAAGGGAGAGAGAGAGCCGGGAAAAGGAAAGGGAGAAACAAAGAGAAUCAACUCUGAUGUACAUAGAGAAGUGAACAAUGAAAUAAACGAGAGGGGAUCAAGCAGCAGGGGCCCUAAUGAAGCGGAGAGAGGAGGGGGAAGCGAAGGGGAGACUGCGGAGGAUAAGAAAACGAAUU